GGCCUGCUGGCCCAAUGGCAAGGUUCGAGCCAACGUCAAGCAUUUCCUGAUCAAGCAAUCAGCUUCUAACAUCAAUGCAACAGGCGCUUGACUACGAAUCAAGAGAUUGCAGGUUCGAUCCCUGCGCAGGUCA
RNAcentral lists this transfer RNA (133 nucleotides) under Lasallia pustulata. RNAcentral describes it as "Umbilicaria pustulata tRNA-OTHER". The record is from RNAcentral. Lineage: Eukaryota; Fungi; Ascomycota; Lecanoromycetes; Umbilicariales; Umbilicariaceae.